This 1302-nucleotide long non-coding RNA is filed under the name Prunus persica (peach). RNAcentral describes it as "long non-coding RNA (PPER_LNC005555)". Lineage: Eukaryota; Viridiplantae; Streptophyta; Magnoliopsida; Rosales; Rosaceae. The record is from RNAcentral.
GACACUCCUAGCCAUUUAUGCAACCAAUCCUAGCUCACGGUACAGUAUUGUUGAAUCGGUUCAGAUUUUUUGAUUCAUGUUUUAGCAGAUCUUUUGUGUCCAUUCGAAUCCUCAAUCUCUAAUUUGAAUUCUCAUACUUUUUCCAGUCAAAUUGGACACUCCUAGCCUUUUAUGUAGCCAACCCCAGCUCACAGUACAGACAUUUAUUAUUGAAUCGGAUUAUUUUUUUUUAUUCAUUUUUUAGCAGAUCUUUUGUGUCCAUUCGAAUUCUGAAUCUCUAAUUUGAAUUCUCAUACUUUUUCCAAUCAAAUUGGACACCCCUAGCCUUUUAUGUAGCCAACCCUAGCUCACGGUACAGACAUUUAUUGUUGAAUCAGUUUAGUUUUUAUUUAUUUAUUUUUUUAGCAGAUCUUUUGUGUCCAUAAGAAUCCUCAAUCUCUAAUUUCAAUUCUCAUACUUUUUUCAAUCAAAUUGGCCACUUCUAGCCUUUGCUCUAGCCAACCCUAGCUCACUGUACAGACAGAUAUUGUUGAAUCGGUUCAAUUUUUUUGACUCUUGUUUUCGAAGAUCUUUUGUGUCCUUUCGAAUCCUCGAUCACUAAUUUGAAUUCUCAUACUUUUUCCACUCAAAUUGGACACUCCUAGCCUCUUAUGUAGCCAACCGUAGCUCACGAUACAGAUAGGUAUUGUUGAAUCAGUUAAGUUUUAUUGAUUCAUGUUUUGCCAGAUAUUUUGUGUCUAUUCGAAUCCUCGAUGGCUAAUUUAAAUUCUCAUACUUUUUCCACUCAAAUUGGACACUCCUAGCCUUUUAUGUACCCAACCCUAGCUUACGAUAUAGAUAGGUAUUGUAUAAUCAGUUCAGUUUUUUUAAUUUAUGUUUUGGCAAAUCUUUUGUGUCUAUUAGAAUCCCCAAUCUCUAAUUUGAAUUCUCAUACUUUUUCCAAUCAAAUUGGCCACUUCUACCGUUUGCUCUGAUCAACCGUAGGUCACGGUAUAGACAGGUAUUGUUGAAUCAGUUCAGUUUUUUUUAUUCAUGUUUUAGCAAAUCUUUUGUGUCCAUUAGAAUCCUCAAUCUCUUAUUUGAAUCCACAUACUUUUUCCAACCAAAUUGGCCACUUCUAGCCUUUGCUCUAGCCAACCCUACUCCACUGUACAAACGGGUAUUGUUGAAUCGGUUCAGUUUUUUUGACUCUUGUUUUGGUAGAUCUUUUGUGUCCAUUACAAUUCUCAAUCUCUAAUUUGAAUUAUCAUACUUGUUCCAAUCAAAUUGGACACUCCUAGCCUUUUAUGUACCCAACCCUAU